UGAAGUACAAUCCUGCUGAGAUCAUUUUCGACGACAAACGCAGAACCUUCACCUGGAAAACGGUACUGGCUCCCCCACAUUCGACAGACACCAAGGAGAAC
This 101-nucleotide non-coding RNA is filed under the name Palpitomonas bilix. The record is from RNAcentral.